AAGUCGUAACAAGGUUUCCGUAGGUGAACCUGCGGAAGGAUCAUUAUCGUGGGGCUCCGGCCCUCUCGAGAUAGAAACCCUUGCCUUUUCGAGUACCAUUUGUUUCCUCGGCAGGCCCGCCUGCCAAUGGGGACCCCAACCAAACCCUUUGUAUAAGCAGUGUAUGUCUGAAAAUACAAACAAACUAUUAAAACUUUCAACAACGGAUCUCUUGGUUCUG
This 220-nucleotide unclassified non-coding RNA is filed under the name fungal sp. RNAcentral describes it as "partial internal transcribed spacer region". The stretch from base 1 to 46 matches the Rfam family "Eukaryotic small subunit ribosomal RNA", at positions 1786 to 1831 of the family's 1831-position model. Lineage: Eukaryota; Fungi. The record is from RNAcentral.